AUGGAGGUUCUACAUGAUGGUUCAUCAAGGAUUUAUAUUUCUUCUCGAAGUGUUCAUCGAGAUUCUUUUCUAAGAAACUCAAGCAUUCUUCAUCUUGCUAUCCGGAGUGCAAUUUCUUUCUACCGUAUCUUUGGAGGUGGUAUUAUGUCCUUCUUGAUAAUUCCCCUUCGUUGCUUCGUGAGUCACAAGUUUUUCAAGAGUGACAUAUUUAAAUCCAUCUUUUUCUCUUUGUUCAAGAGAUCUUUUCAACCGUCAAUCUCUUCAUUGGAGUUAUCUUGGUAUAGAUUUCACCUUAAGCCUUCCCUAAGGAUGGUUGUUAUUAUGGUGCUUAUAAAUGAUCCAAGUUUCUUCAUUUAUCCUCCCGGUGAAAUAAGUUUCUCGUCUUCUUGUUCAUAUCAAUCCAAUCUUGUUUUUUCGUAA
RNAcentral lists this ribosomal RNA (420 nucleotides) under Triticum aestivum (bread wheat). RNAcentral's name for it is "partial small subunit ribosomal RNA". Lineage: Eukaryota; Viridiplantae; Streptophyta; Magnoliopsida; Poales; Poaceae. The record is from RNAcentral.